GGGAGAUCAGGUGACUCCGGGCUUCCAGCGUUUGAGGCGCUGGUGACGUCAGGCGCGCUGCUGCGGCUCAGUGGCUCGCGGCAGGUGCGGCUCUGUUCCCGGAGCCGGGUCCAGUCUUCUUCGGUCGAGACCGGGUCAGUAACCGGCCGCCGCGCGGAGCAGAGAGAAUCAUUUGUGAUGAAAAAGACCUUGAUUGGUUCAGCAGAUUGGAGCUGGGACAAGACAAACUUUUCUUGAAGGACAUGAGCUAU
Molecule: long non-coding RNA, 251 nt
Filed under: Meriones unguiculatus (Mongolian gerbil)
Lineage: Eukaryota; Metazoa; Chordata; Mammalia; Rodentia; Muridae
Description: lncRNA (ENSMUGG00000023781.1)
Source: RNAcentral